Molecule: long non-coding RNA, 119 nt
Organism: Gavialis gangeticus (Gharial)
Lineage: Eukaryota; Metazoa; Chordata; Crocodylia; Gavialidae
Exons: 3
Source: RefSeq, a predicted model, not a curated record
AUACAUAUACACAGGUGAGUUCCUGACUUGGAUGGUACAGUGUGUAUGUGUGUGCUUAGCGUACUUGGAAUACUUGGGGGGAAGGUUAUGGUGAGAGAGCGAAAGUGUAGGGAGAGAAA